Molecule: ribosomal RNA, 253 nt
Filed under: uncultured bacterium
Lineage: Bacteria
Description: partial 16S ribosomal RNA
Rfam family: Bacterial small subunit ribosomal RNA
Source: RNAcentral
GACGAACCGAGCGAACGUUGUUCGGAAUCACUGGGCUUAAAGGGCGCGUACGCGGGUUCUCAAGUCCGGGGUGAAAUCCCACAGCUCAACUGUGGAACUGCCUCGGAUACCGGGAGUCUCGAGGGUGGCAGGGGUAUGCGGAACUAUCGGUGGAGCGGUGAAAUGCGUUGAUAUCGAUAGGAACUCCGGUGGCGAAGGCGGCAUACUGGUCCACUUCUGACGCUGAGGCGCGAAAGCCAGGGGAGCAAACGGG